CGCUUCAUCUUGGGCCAAAAUGAAAUGACACUCAAGUUUUCGAGUAAAAUUAGAAGACAAAGAAAAUGGAAUGGGACUUAAUCGAAUAGUGCAGGAAAGAAGGAGGGACCAUAACCGCAAAUAGCCCUUUUGAGCCUCAAAAACAAGCGGAUCGCCCUUUUAAUUGGGUCGGGUCACGAGUUUUCCCCCCUAAACGACACCGUUUUGAGGAGUGGGGGGAGAAGUGCAAAACUAUGCCGUUUUGCAUGGCUAUUAAAGCCAAGUUUUCUUUUAUUUUUUUCAUUUCAGCUUUCAUUUUUUUUAAAAAAAAACAAAAAGCUUCUUUGCUCUUUCUCCCUCUCCCUUUCUCCCUUGCAGCUAGGGUUUUGAAACCCAUUAUCACCGCCGUUGUCACGGCACCACCAUGGGCGGAGGUUGGGCGGUGCAACUCCGGGGCUGUCCAGGUAAGUGUUUCCUUCCCCUUUUUAUUUUUUGUGUUUAAAAUUAAUUUUAUAAAUAAAAAUAAAAAGAUAAAAAAUAAAAUGAAAUAAAAAGGGACGAAAGAACACGAUAAACAGAAUAAAGAAAAACAACCUUUUCAAGCUUUUGUUUUGCUUUUCGAUUAAUGGUGUGUGUAAAAAAUUACAAAAGGAUCGAUUUUGGCCUUUAUAGUCGUAUACAAGAUUCGCUCAUUGUCUUUUUUCGUUUUGUUUUUUGCCAAUUUUGUCCAUUUCUUUAUUGUUUGUUUUGUUUGCUUGUUGAUUUGGCCUUGCAGAUAGUGUCAGUGGCGUUAGACGCAUAGAGGAGGCGUGCGUGGAGGAGCAGCUCGUAAGGCGGUCUGCUGACAUGCGGCGGCUGAAGGCAGAUGGGGGCUAGGGUUUUUUUUGUGUUGUAAUGUUUUGAGUGAGCUAGGGUUUAGUUUGGGCCUUGUAAAUUGGGUAGGAUAGAUUUGACUUUUGGGCUAUUGUUUGAUUUGUGCCAUUUUAAUGUGUAAAUGGACUGUUAAUAAAUAUUUGGAUUUUUACUUAUUUUUGGUUUAUUUUGUUUUAUAGACAUGGGCCAAAAUUGGCUAUUACAUGCAUAAUUGUGGAUUUUUUCCGUUUCCAAUUGUCAAGUGCUUCAUCUCUGAAAAUAAAUUCACAGGCCUCUUAUGCACCCUAUUUACUUUGAAACAAUAAAUGCUAUUAAAGAGGUGAAGAACUAUGGAGGCAAUUACAAGGUAAUUUCAGUGAUUUCUUAGAAUGACUUCAUAGGUCUCAUUUCCCAACAAAUUACUUUCAAACUUAUCAACGAAAGACUUCUAAAGUUUGUAAGCUACUAGAAAGGUGAACAUGAGCCAAAUCAUUUGAAAUAUAAUACUUUUUUCUAG
This 1348-nucleotide long non-coding RNA is filed under the name Gossypium barbadense (sea-island cotton). RNAcentral describes it as "long non-coding RNA (GBAR_LNC000126)". Lineage: Eukaryota; Viridiplantae; Streptophyta; Magnoliopsida; Malvales; Malvaceae. The record is from RNAcentral.